CACGAGACAACCGACCCGUUCUUGUAAAACAGCUUAUAUACCGUCGUUUAGGGGAUUAAAUAAAUAACUGCUCUUAAUUGCUUAGGCUAAUAAAUCAGAUCAAGGUGUAGCUUAUGUUCGGGAGAGGGUGGGUUACAAUAAGAACUUAAACGGAACUUUCAUUUUAUCAUGGAGAAGAAGGUGGAUUUAGAAGUAAGGCCUAUCAACCUGAAGGAGGCUCUGAGAAAUGUACACAUCGCCCGUCGCUCUCUUGUCCGAAGAGAUAAGUCGUAACAAAGUAGGUAUACCGGAAGGUGUAUCUUGAAAGA
Molecule: ribosomal RNA, 308 nt
Filed under: Artemia sp. DR-2011
Lineage: Eukaryota; Metazoa; Arthropoda; Branchiopoda; Anostraca; Artemiidae
Description: partial 12S ribosomal RNA
Source: RNAcentral